GGAUGAACGUAUGAGAAGAAAGACCCGGGGCCUUUGCAUGUAUUGUGGUGAUCCAGCUCACAGUCUUAAGGACUGCCCUAUCAUACCUCAGAAAAAGAACAUGGGCAAGUAAACAGAUCUCCGUCCCUGCUAUCGUUGACACCGGAGCUCAAGGCAACUACAUCGACAGCUCAUUAGUGUCUAUCAAUAAAAUACCCCUGAUUAAGAAA
Bombina bombina (fire-bellied toad) is the source of this 209-nucleotide long non-coding RNA. RefSeq lists it as uncharacterized. Lineage: Eukaryota; Metazoa; Chordata; Amphibia; Anura; Bombinatoridae. The record is from RefSeq and is a predicted model, not a curated record. The transcript is spliced from 2 exons.